RNAcentral lists this ribosomal RNA (337 nucleotides) under uncultured bacterium. RNAcentral's name for it is "bacterial SSU rRNA". It matches the Rfam family "Bacterial small subunit ribosomal RNA", at positions 1 to 334 of the family's 1533-position model. The record is from RNAcentral.
GUGAGUAGUUCAGAGUUUGAUCCUGGCUCAGGACGAACGCUGGCGGCGUGCCUAACACAUGCAAGUCGAACGGAGCAGAGACUUCGGUUUUUGCUUAGUGGCGAACGGGUGAGUAACGCGUGAGAAACCUGCCUUUCAGUGGGGGACAACAGUUGGAAACGACUGCUAAUACCGCAUAAUGUAACGAGAUCGCAUGGCCUUGUUACCAAAGCUUUAUGUGCUGAAAGAUGGUCUCGCGUCUGAUUAGCUAGUUGGUGAGGUAACGGCUCACCAAGGCGACGAUCAGUAGCCGGUCUGAGAGGAUGAACGGCCACAUUGGGACUGAGAUACGGCCCAG